AAGUACCUCAUGUAGGCAGGGAAAUCCGAAAACUACUGUGGGAACAAUAGUAAAAAAAAGAGCAUGGCUGUGGCAUGAAGAUGCUUACAGUCUGGACAGGCUAGGACAGAACUGUUUGGAUUAUGGAGUAGAUGUCUUCAGUUUCCUGUCUACAGCCUUCAGAUCUUAUCACUUCUGUGUCCACUGGUCUAUUUUCAGUUGCAAGUAUCUGCAUCACUUUGCUGGAGAAUGUUCUCCAAAGCUGCUGAUGUCCUUUCUGCUUCACUGCCCAUGUAUAUGGUGAUCUGAAAAUGACAGGAAAAUAAUGCCCAUAAAGAAAAGCCUCAAUCAAUGAUUGAAGGAAUUGGUAUGUGAUAAAUGUCUUGCUCCUCAGUUGGGGUAACGCUUGAGCAGGUGUUUUAUACUGUCUCCUAGAGUUCUUCAGCAAAAUUGAUUUUUCAAUAAACUCACAAAGGUUAUUUGCCA
Molecule: long non-coding RNA, 465 nt
Organism: Cebus imitator (Panamanian white-faced capuchin)
Lineage: Eukaryota; Metazoa; Chordata; Mammalia; Primates; Cebidae
Exons: 2
Source: RefSeq, a predicted model, not a curated record